Molecule: ribosomal RNA, 445 nt
Filed under: uncultured bacterium
Lineage: Bacteria
Description: partial 16S ribosomal RNA
Rfam family: Bacterial small subunit ribosomal RNA
Source: RNAcentral
GUGAGGAAUAUUGCGCAAUGGAGGCAACUCUGACGCAGCCAUGCCGCGUGCAGGAAGAAGGCGCUACGCGUUGUAAACUGCUUUUAACCGGGAAGAAACCCCAGGACGUGUCCUGGGUUGACGGUACCGGAGGAAUAAGCACCGGCUAACUUCGUGCCAGCAGCCGCGGUAAUACGAAGGGUGCAAGUGUUAUCCGGAUUCAUUGGGUUUAAAGGGUGCGUAGGCGGAGCGUUAAGUCAGUGGUGAAAUCCUGCAGCUUAACUGUAGACUUGCCAUUGAUACUGGCGCUCUUGAGUGCGCUUGAAGUGGGCGGAAUGUGCCGUGUAGCGGUGAAAUGCUUAGAUAUGGCACAGAACACCAAUUGCGAAGGCAGCUCACUAAGGCGAUACUGACGCUGAGGCACGAAAGCGUGGGGAUCGAACAGGAUUAGAAACCCCUGUAGUCC